This 29-nucleotide non-coding RNA is filed under the name Mus musculus (house mouse). The record is from RNAcentral. Lineage: Eukaryota; Metazoa; Chordata; Mammalia; Rodentia; Muridae.
UAGAUGUGCUUAGGUCUAAUGACCUGACU